Clupea harengus (Atlantic herring) is the source of this 697-nucleotide long non-coding RNA. RefSeq lists it as uncharacterized. NCBI's taxonomy places the organism in Eukaryota, Metazoa, Chordata, Actinopteri, Clupeiformes, Clupeidae. The record is from RefSeq and is a predicted model, not a curated record. The transcript is spliced from 2 exons.
CUCACAUUUCUGGAGAAACACCUACACCCAGUCUCACACACACACACACUGUGAGAAAGUGAAAUGUUCUUCCCCUUCUCACCGUCUCAUGAGGAGUUUGGCCCUGGUGUGGACUCCCCCGCCACAAUGGUUCGAUCCGGGCCCCCCCACCAUAGUGGCUGGACCCGGGAGGCCAAAUUGGCUCAAGUGAACUCAGCUGGCGGCCCCUAUUUAAAGGGCGCCUCAUGUUCAUGAGGAGAGACUUUCUUGAGAUGGCCAUGGGAGAACUUUGAAGGCAGGCAUGAGAGGCUGAAAGAAUCUGGAAAACACUUACCUGCUGUGAGGUUAAGUGUAUUGGUGUCUAGCUGUGUGGAUACUAACCUGUGCUGUGAAGAGGUUCCUUCUGAACCUAAGUAUUGAAUAUGUUCCUUCUGAACUUACUAACCUGUGCUGUGAAGAGGUUCCUUCUGAACCUAGGUAUUGAAUAUGUUCCUUCUGAACUUGUUAACCUGUGCUCUGUGAAAUGUUCCUAGUGAACUUGUGAAUCAGUGAAUAAUGAAUCGGUGCCUCAAGAGUAUGCCUAGUUCUCCUUAGUGUUUGUAGCACUUUAAGUGCGGCCUUCUUUGUGUUUUUGAAGACAUGUUUGUUUAUUGUUUAUACAUGUUACGGGGUGGACACCAAAUAAUCCCCAUGUAAAUAAAGAAGAAUAUUUUUAUAU